This 335-nucleotide unclassified non-coding RNA is filed under the name soil metagenome. Its description in RNAcentral is "partial contains 5.8S ribosomal RNA, internal transcribed spacer 2, and large subunit ribosomal RNA". The stretch from base 1 to 120 matches the Rfam family "5.8S ribosomal RNA", at positions 35 to 154 of the family's 154-position model. The record is from RNAcentral.
GAUGAAGAACGCAGCGAAAUGCGAUAAGUAAUGUGAAUUGCAGAAUUCAGUGAAUCAUCGAUUCUUUGAACGCACAUUGCGCCCAUUAGCAUUCUAGUGGGCAUGCCUGUUCGAGCGUCAUUUCAACCCUUAAGCCCUGUUGCUUAGCGUUGGGAGCCUACAGUACUGUAGCUCCCCAAAGUUAGUGGCGGAGUCGGUUUCACACUCUAGACGUAGUAAUUUUUUCUCGUCUGUAGUUGAGCCGGUCCCCUGCCGUAAAACACCCAAUUUAUCAAGGUUGACCUCGGAUCAGGUAGGAAUACCCGCUGAACUUAAGCAUAUCAAUAAGCGGAGGA